This 245-nucleotide ribosomal RNA is filed under the name uncultured Succinimonas sp. RNAcentral's name for it is "partial 16S ribosomal RNA". It matches the Rfam family "Bacterial small subunit ribosomal RNA", at positions 524 to 768 of the family's 1533-position model. The record is from RNAcentral. Lineage: Bacteria; Pseudomonadati; Pseudomonadota; Gammaproteobacteria; Aeromonadales; Succinivibrionaceae.
UACGGAGGGCGCAAGCGUUAAUCGGAAUAACUGGGCGUAAAGCGCACGCAGGCGGUUAUGCAAGUCAGAUGUGAAAUCCCAGCGCUUAACGUUGGGCGGUCAUUUGAAACUGCAAGACUAGAGUACUAUAAGGGGAGCUGGAAUUCCAGGUGUAGCGGUGAAAUGCGUAGAUAUCUGGAAGAACACCGGUGGCGAAGGCGAGCUUCUGGAUAGUAACUGACGCUCAGGUGCGAAAGCGUGGGGAG